GUACUCGCUUCGGCGGUAUACAUACUAAAAUAUGAACAAAGUAGAGGUGAUUAGCAUGGCUCUUGCGCAAGGAAGUCCAAAAAAAAAAAAAAAAAAAAAAAUGCUU
Small nuclear RNA from Schistocerca serialis cubense, 106 nucleotides. Lineage: Eukaryota; Metazoa; Arthropoda; Insecta; Orthoptera; Acrididae. The record is from RefSeq and is a predicted model, not a curated record.